UACGUAGGGCGCAAGCGUUGUCCGGAAUUAUUGGGCGUAAAGAGCUCGUAGGCGGUCUGUCGCGUCCGUUGUGAAAACUCGAGGCUCAACCUCGGGCCUGCAGUGGGUACGGGCAGACUAGAGUGCGGUAGGGGAGAUUGGAAUUCCUGGUGUAGCGGUGAAAUGCGCAGAUAUCAGGAGGAACACCGAUGGCGAAGGCAGGUCUCUGGGCAUUAACUGACGCUGAGGAGCGAAAGCAUGGGGAGCGAACAGG
This 253-nucleotide ribosomal RNA is filed under the name uncultured bacterium. RNAcentral's name for it is "partial 16S ribosomal RNA". It matches the Rfam family "Bacterial small subunit ribosomal RNA", at positions 524 to 776 of the family's 1533-position model. The record is from RNAcentral.